UUGCUUCAGCAGCAUAUAUACUAAGAUUGGAACAACACAGAGAAAAUCAGCAUGACCCUCACAUAAAGAAAAUGCAAAUUUGUGAAGCAUUUCAUAUUUUU
Molecule: small nuclear RNA, 101 nt
Filed under: Propithecus coquereli (Coquerel's sifaka)
Lineage: Eukaryota; Metazoa; Chordata; Mammalia; Primates; Indriidae
Source: RNAcentral